This 699-nucleotide long non-coding RNA is filed under the name Malus domestica (apple). Its description in RNAcentral is "long non-coding RNA (MDOM_LNC018444)". Lineage: Eukaryota; Viridiplantae; Streptophyta; Magnoliopsida; Rosales; Rosaceae. The record is from RNAcentral.
UUUGAAACUUUGACAGGUAAACAAAGUAUUUUUACAUUAAUUUUCGUGGAAGAGGAACAUUAGGUAGAAAGGUAGAAAAGUACAAGAAAGUGCAAAUAAACAGUAAGGAGUCUUCAUUGGUCAGGAGGUGCCUCAGCAUUCGACGGAGCUCCAGAAAGACGAAGCACCAAAGAUUGAUUAUCCGGAGCCUCAACACUUGGUGAAGCGCCAGAGGACGAAGGCAGAAGUUGGCGCUAGAGUAACGCCACAAACCUCUGAUGAUCACUUUGAAUCCGAACUUCGGACUCCUACAGCUAGUCAAGCUUCCUCUUCAUGCUUGUUGAGUAAUUAGUUGCGAGCAUGUGCAACUCUUUAUUCUCGUGCCUAAGCACUCUGACUUCUUGCCGAAGAUUGGCCACCUCAGCCAUCAAUGACUUAACCUGACAAGAUCGAGCAAGAAGGCGUUGGCCCAUGUUUGAAACUGAGCCUGCACAUCGGACGCUGUAGGCUAGAGAGUCCUAAACAGCCAGCUCGUCGGAUCGCCUGGAAAGUAUCCUAUUGUCUCUAGGAGUGAGAAGAUUUCUGGCCACCACCGAAGUGGUUAUAUCGUUCAUCAUCAUAGAAUCCCCAACUGUAAGAGGACCAUUGGGAAAUACGAAUGACGGCUGCCAAAUGUUGUUUGGAGAAGAUUGAUGCGAAAAUUAACUUAACAUAUAAAUU